AUUGAACGCUGGCGGCAUGCCUUACACAUGCAAGUCGAACGCGAAAGGGGGGCAACCCCCGACGUAGAGUGGCGCACGGGUGAGUAAUACAUCGGAACGUGUCCUGUAGCGGGGGAUAACCUAGCGAAAGCUAGGCUAAUACCGCAUACGUCCUAAGGGAGAAAGUGGGGGAUCGUAAGACCUCACACUAUAGGAGCGGCCGAUGCCGGAUUAGCUAGUUGGUGGGGUAAAGGUCUACCAAGGCUACGAUCCGUAGCUGGUCUGAGAGGAUGAUCAGCCACACUGGGACUGAGACACGGCCCAGACUCCUACGGGAGGCAGCAGUGGGGAAUUUUGGACAAUGGGGGAAACCCUGAUCCAGCCAUGCCGCGUGAGUGAAGAAGGCCUCGG
RNAcentral lists this ribosomal RNA (390 nucleotides) under uncultured bacterium. Its description in RNAcentral is "bacterial SSU rRNA". It matches the Rfam family "Bacterial small subunit ribosomal RNA", at positions 30 to 420 of the family's 1533-position model. The record is from RNAcentral.